Molecule: ribosomal RNA, 429 nt
Filed under: Pseudomonadota bacterium
Lineage: Bacteria; Pseudomonadati; Pseudomonadota
Description: Proteobacteria bacterium partial 16S ribosomal RNA
Rfam family: Bacterial small subunit ribosomal RNA
Source: RNAcentral
UGGGGAAUAUUGGACAAUGGGCGAAAGCCUGAUCCAGCCAUGCCGCGUGGGUGAAGAAGGUCUUCGGAUUGUAAAGCACUUUAAGUUGGGAGGAAGGGCAGUAAGCGAAUACCUUGCUGUUUUGACGUUACCGACAGAAUAAGCACCGGCUAACUCCGUGCCAGCAGCCGCGGUAAUACAGAGGGUGCAAGCGUUAAUCGGAAUUACUGGGCGUAAAGCGCGCGUAGGUGGUUCGUUAAGUGGAAUGUGAAAGCCCCGGGCUCAACCUUGGAACUGCAUCCAAAACUGGCGAGCUAGAGUAGGGCAGAGGGUGGUGGAAUUUCCUGUGUGGCGGUGAAAUGCGUAGAUAUAGGAAGGAACACCAUUGGCGAAGGCGACCACCUGGGCUCAUACUGACACUGAGGUGCGAAAGCGUGGGUAGCAAACAGG